AGAUGAGUAUUGAUUACUAAUCAACUACUAGCCUGGAAGAUAAAAGCCAAAGCUGUAAACAGACAGGUCAGGUAAAUAUAUGAAUGAAGAAAUUGAAACUAGAAGUAAACAUCAUGGGAAGUCUAAUUAUAGGGCAAGUAUUUUUCCUUCAUAUCUUAUUUAACAUAGUCAAACCAUGCAAUACUUAUAGGCUUAACUAUUGUUUUCAUAGAAAUAAUGUUAUUUUAAAUAUCAUGAGAUAGCAACAAAUAUUCCUUGGUAAUCUGCUAUCAGAUGACAGUUAUCUCUUUGGCAUUUUUAUGAAUUAAAGCUUUCAAAGCCAAAGUAAGACUUAAUUUUUUCUUUUCUUUAACUGCUAAUUCUAAAAUAAUUUAUCAUUGCAUGUUAAAAAUAACUUGUUAUACAUUUUUCUGUGUUUUUGGUCAAGCUUCAGAUUUGCUUAGCAUAUUCCUGUACUACAUAUCAACAAAUGUUUGAUGGUUUGUCUGGUUCAUCUCUUAACAGUAUGAAGAUGGCUACACUAAUCUUAACAAGCAAACAUUCUGUUGCCAACAGUACCAAUUUGUCAUCCUAUCCAAGCAACUACUAUUCCUUGGUAAUCUGCUAUCAGAUGAUUACAGUUUUCUCUUUGGCAUUUGUAUGAAUUAAAGCUUUCAAAGCCAAACCUUAGAUUUGGUUAGCAUAACCCUGAACUGCAUAUCAACAAAUGUCUAAUGGUCUGUCUGGUUCAUUUCUCAAGACUAUGAAGAUGGCUACACAGGUAUCAGCUAUCAGCAGUGCACCCCUAUGAUACACAAGUCUUCAUUGCCAAGUCACUCUGCCAAACAGUGUGUACACCUUUCUUGCAUUGGUAGUGACCCACUUUACUGUCAUGAGUCUGGAUAUGUCAGGCCAAGGAGAUCAAGUUUGUGUCCAAGGUUACUUAGUUAAUUCUCUAAGAACAAUAGACAGACUCUACAUGCUACUGAUCUGGAGGUUAGUGGCUCAAUCAUUGUGCACUGAUUCUUCACUGAUGCCUUGAUUCCCCACUGUCAACUUUAUUGUCAUAAAGUUUAUCUAGUGAUCUACAUAUCAAGACUAAAUGGUCAAUUAAACAUGAGGUCAAGGAAAAAGGAUGAACAUUUCAAGGCUACUGAAGGAACAUUAAACGUCUCUCUCACUGUGAAAAGAUUCUACCGAUCUACAAAUGAUCAACAUGUUUUAUCUUAAGUUCGUCUGCCAUUUCUUCAAAUGGAGCCAUAUUAAGAAUAAGAUUCUUUUUGUUCUUCCUUAGGUUCAAAUGUAUCAGUUGUUUUUGUUGACAGAUAUCAAGAUUUUCAUAAUCAUUUCAGUUCUCAAUUAUUUUGUGCACCAAGUUACAAGAAAAAAUUUAAGCAAGAGAGGUCACUACACUAAGACUUUGUCUUCUCAUAAGAAAGGAUGGCUGCCUGGUCAUGUGAUAUGUGCACUGGACUGUGUAUGGUCAUCUUGAUGCUCAUAUCUUGCCUGAUGACAUUUAUUCUGCUGAACAUUUGGUCAAGGAAGUAGAUUCUCUUCAGCUCUCAAGAAACAUUCAAAACAUGUCAAACAUUCGACAAGAAUAUCAAGUGCAAUGUACAUACCAACAUGAUGAAAAGGUAGACAACAUGAAGAUGUAGACCAACAUGAUGAAGAUGUAGACCAACAUGAAGAGGUAGACCAGCAUGAUGAAGAUGUAGACCAACAUGAUGAAGAUGUAGACCAACAUGAAGAUGAAAUGUAAACCAAAAAAUGGGUCAAGAGAUGUAUGGAAUACAAUGUGAACAUCUUGAGAAGUAAAACAAUUCCUAGAGGCAAAGACACAGACACACCGGAUCUAUUAGAGAUUUUCCUUUUCUACCAUCAUUUAGAGACUUCCUUGUGCUCUAAGGGAACCUGUCAUUAUCUUUUGAUUGCUAAUUGGCAUUGAUGUUUUUACAUUCCUACUGCGUCUGAAAGAAAUUAACAUUUCCCUAAUGCUACUUCAAAACCAGACCUUCUCAAGACAAUUUUAGUGACCAAGCUGCAAUAUGGGACUCAGUAGGAAACAAUGAAGAAUGCUCCUAACCUCAGGUUGAGUAACCAUGCUCACCUACUAGAGUGGCGACAAAUACUUCUACACCCACAGUUAUACAUCCUGAACCCUGUAACCCAACCUCACAACAUGGUUACAUUACCGGAAGUGGUCGCUAGGUCAGAAAACCUAACAGAUACAAUGGAUAGAACAAUGAACAGGUACAAGUACUCAAGCGAUGUACUUUGUGAGAACUAUUUAGGUGGAAUCACCAUAAUUGACUUGUAUAAAUCUUGUUCUAUAUUUAGGUAUAUCUUGACAAUCAGUCCAGUCAUUUGUUCAUUUUUUUUUUAAAUAUUCUUUUUUUUUCCCUCAAUCUUCUUGUUGUUUCAGUUACAUGUUUUUGUAUUUUGAAGGAGGAAGGUGCUUUGGUAUAUUAUCGUUAUUAUUAUUGUACCAGUAUUAAGCAAACUUGUAUAUCUUUAAUUAUUCAUGAAUUCUAAAGCAGAACGUCACUUCCACCGGAAAAUGUUGUAACAACUAUACAUGUCUUCAGUUAACAUUCAAUACUCUGUACAGUCACAACGCCAAAGCCAUGCUAGAUUAUGCUUUUAAUUCAAUUUGUUAUCUCCCCUGCUUUAGUGUAUCAUAUAAUUUUUUGUGUCACAUCCCUGCACAAUUUGUUCUAUGCUUUUUUACAGUAUAAAUAGCGACUUGACAUUAUUUAGCUCUAUUAUAAUAUUGUUAUAUUAUUAUAUUUAAAAUAAAACUGUUAACAUAUUCUAUGCUGUUAUAAUAUAAAUGUUUUGCUGUUACCAUGAAUACAGUUUUGAGUUUUUGUCUGAUUUCUUAGAGGAGAAAUUUUUCAUAAAUAAUAAUAAUAAGGCUUAUCUUCAAGUCCGAAGAUUAGUGAGAAGUAUGCAGUAUUCCCCAGCUAGGACCUACAUAUUUUGCUAUAAAUAAAGAGUAUAAUAAUAUUUACUACUUGGUAUUGUCAGUCUUCACUAAAGCAAUGAGUUUAUCCCCUUAGUGUGUUUAAAAUUUUCAAAUACUAAUUCACUUUGUAUUAUCUAUUGGUGAUCAUGGGGUAUCCACUUUGUCAUCUCCAUAGUCUCUGGUGUUAACACUCAGUGUCCUGUUGGAGGUUACGGCUAAGAUGUUAUCUCUCUUUCUGAUGGAACACAUGUAAAACCAACAAAACAAACAUUAGACCUAGACUUUAUUAACAGGUAAAUUUUUAUAAUUGUGAACUGGCGCUCCCAAAGCUACUUUUAUGUAUUUUAAAUUUUACUUCUGUAGGCUAGUGCUAAGCUGUAUACUUGUAUUUCUGCCUAUUAUAUGGGUUAGGGUGGAGUACUUAAAAUAGAGCCUAUGCUGUUUCCUGUACUGUUGACCAGUGGUCUCUGUGUCAGUUUUAAUUAUUCUGUACCUGGGACUGCCUGUAAGUUUCAGAAUUUUUCUUUUAUUUUUUAAAAUUUUACUAUGUGUAAAUCUGUUUUAUAUUUGAACAACUGUCAAAAUAACUAGCAGUUUUUUUUUUCUAAAGUUUGUUUUAAAACUAUGGCCAAGCCCUGCCCAGUGCUGUCAUGAUGGCCACUUCUAAUGUUUAUGUACUAGAUUGUAACUGCUGCCUUAGUCAUUGAAAUUAAAGUCUCAUUUUUGAAUUUC
Molecule: long non-coding RNA, 3679 nt
Organism: Biomphalaria glabrata
Lineage: Eukaryota; Metazoa; Mollusca; Gastropoda; Planorbidae
Exons: 10
Source: RefSeq, a predicted model, not a curated record